GACGAACGCUGGCGGCGUGCUUAACACAUGCAAGUCGAACGAAGUGGCGCACGGGUGAGUAAUACGUGGGUAACCUGCCCUCCUUUUUGGGAUAAGCCUUGGAAACGGGGUCUAAUACCGAAUAACGGGGGAUGGGGUCGCGGCCUAUCUGCUUGUUGGUGGGGUGAUGGCCUACGAAGGCGGUGCCGGGUAGCCGGCCUGAGAGGGAGACCGGCAACAGUGCGCGGGAGCGACGCCCAAGGCGCCUAGCGGGGGGAGCAAUGGGAGAUAUGGCGCAAUGGUCGUGAACCUAAUGCGGCGGUGCCGAGUAGGGGAUGGAGGCUUUCAGGUUGUAAACCUGUUACGCAAUCGAACGGGUAGGUGGAGAAGAAGCACCGGCUAACUACGUGCCAGCAGCCGCGGUAAUUC
Molecule: ribosomal RNA, 408 nt
Filed under: uncultured bacterium
Lineage: Bacteria
Description: partial 16S ribosomal RNA
Rfam family: Bacterial small subunit ribosomal RNA
Source: RNAcentral